AUGGGAGUCAGCUUCUCUCUCCCUUCUUUCCCACCCCAUGCGCAGAGUCUUGCAGCGCCCCUGUACCCCUGCCUCUGUAAACGGUGGGAGCUGACACCUCUCUCCUCCGACUCUGCAUCCACAGCUUUUUGCCAGUAUGGGGCUUGUGCUGGGUGGCCUACGGCUGUGAUGACCCAGCUCCUUGCUCCUGUCCCCUUAGGCAGCUGCCUGGGAGUGGGAACUCCUCGCCAGUGUGCUUCUGCUCCCCCAUCCUGGUUGCUGUUUGUCAGCAGCAGGUGUCUGUCCCCCAAUGAGUCCCGCUGCAGUGGCCCUCCCAGCCACGUGGCAGGGCGUCCCCCGUCACCUCUGGCUCCAGGCCCUGUCCCUGCAGCGAUGCCUGUGAAGGAGCCUGUACCCAGCCAGCCCUUCACUUGCCCAUGCUCCCAUACCAUCUUGCUGCCUGCAGCCCUUUGCAGCACCCUUUGGGGCAGGCACACAGCCCCUCAUCCCUUCCCGGCCCAGCCAGGACCUGGCUGCCUCUCACUGCCCUCCCAGUGGAGGCCAGGGGCCAGAAACAGCAGCUGGAAGUGUCUCUCUGCUCAGACAUCUCUGGGGAGCAAUGGAGCCUGCAGGCAGGAGAGGGGGCCAGGCCCCAGUAGCCCCGGGCUGUCAUCAUGGGGUCUGACUGUUGCCAGGCUCUGUCAGCCCCAUGCUGUCACCAUGGGGCCAGAUCCAGUCGGCCCCAGGCUGUCGCCAUGGGGCCAGGCCUUGUCAGCCCUGGGCUGUCACUGUGGACCAGGCCAUGUUGGCUGUGUGCUAUCACCAUGGGGCCAGGCCCAGUUGGCCCCAGGCUGUCACCAUGAAGCUGGGCUCACUGGCCCCAGGGGAAGUGCGAGGAUCCAGCUGACCUGUCAUGUCCCCACACAUCUGCAGCCCAAACAACUGGUGCCCCCCCUCAGCCCAAGGACAUGCUGGGAGCCCUUUCCCUCUCUUGGCAUGUGUGGCACCAGCAAUGUCUGGGGCCUGUGCUCAGUCCCUCUCUGA
Molecule: long non-coding RNA, 1023 nt
Filed under: Apteryx haastii (Great spotted kiwi)
Lineage: Eukaryota; Metazoa; Chordata; Aves; Apterygiformes; Apterygidae
Description: lncRNA (ENSAHAG00000003638.1)
Source: RNAcentral